Molecule: ribosomal RNA, 531 nt
Filed under: uncultured Prevotella sp.
Lineage: Bacteria; Pseudomonadati; Bacteroidota; Bacteroidia; Bacteroidales; Prevotellaceae
Description: bacterial SSU rRNA
Rfam family: Bacterial small subunit ribosomal RNA
Source: RNAcentral
GAAGAGUUUGAUCAUGGCUCAGGAUGAACGCUAGCUAUAGGCUUAACACAUGCAAGUCGAGGGGCAGCGAAUAGAUAGCUUGCUAUUUAUGUCGGCGACCGGCGCACGGGUGAGUAACGCGUAUCCAACCUACCCAUAACUAAGGGAUAACCCAGCGAAAGUUGGACUAAUACCUUAUGUAUUCGUUUGAUCUCAUGAGAUUACGAAUAAAGAUUUAUCGGUUAUGGAUGGGGAUGCGUCUGAUUAGCUUGUUGGCGGGGUAACGGCCCACCAAGGCAACGAUCAGUAGGGGUUCUGAGAGGAAGGUCCCCCACAUUGGAACUGAGACACGGUCCAAACUCCUACGGGAGGCAGCAGUGAGGAAUAUUGGUCAAUGGACGCAAGUCUGAACCAGCCAAGUAGCGUGCAGGAUGACGGCCCUAUGGGUUGUAAACUGCUUUUAUAUGGGGAUAAAGUGGGGAACGUGUUCCCUUUUGCAGGUACCAUAUGAAUAAGGACCGGCUAAUUCCGUGCCAGCAGCCGCGGUAAUAC